GACGAACGCUGGCGGCGUGCCUAAUACAUGCAAGUAGAACGCUGAAGGAGGAGCUUGCUCUUCUGGAUGAGUUGCGAACGGGUGAGUAACGCGUAGGUAACCUGCCUGGUAGCGGGGGAUAACUAUUGGAAACGAUAGCUAAUACCGCAUAACAGUAGAUGUUGCAUGACAUUUACUUAAAAGGUGCAAUUGCAUCACUACCAGAUGGACCUGCGUUGUAUUAGCUAGUUGGUGGGGUAACGGCUCACCAAGGCGACGAUACAUAGCCGACCUGAGAGGGGGAUCGGCCACACUGGGACUGAGACACGGCCCAGACUCCUACGGGAGGCAGCAGUAGGGAAUCUUCGGCAAUGGACGGAAGUCUGACCGAGCAACGCCGCGUGAGUGAAGAAGGUUUUCGGAUCGUAAAGCUCUGCUGUAAGAGAAGAACGAGUGUGAGAGUGGAAAGUUCACACUGUGACGGUAUCUUACCAGAAAGGGACGGCUAACUACGUG
RNAcentral lists this ribosomal RNA (495 nucleotides) under uncultured bacterium. RNAcentral's name for it is "partial 16S ribosomal RNA". It matches the Rfam family "Bacterial small subunit ribosomal RNA", at positions 28 to 507 of the family's 1533-position model. The record is from RNAcentral.